UACAGAGGGUGCAAGCGUUGUUCGGAAUCAUUGGGCGUAAAGGGCGCGUAGGCGGUUAUACAAGUCGAAUGUGAAAGCCCAGGGCUCAACCUUGGAAGUGCAUCCGAAACUGCAUAACUAGAAUCUCGGAGAGGGUGGUGGAAUUCCCAGUGUAGAGGUGAAAUUCGUAGAUAUUGGGAGGAACACCGGUGGCGAAGGCGACCACCUGGACGAAGAUUGACGCUGAGGCGCGAAAGCGUGGGGAGCAAACAGG
This 253-nucleotide ribosomal RNA is filed under the name uncultured bacterium. RNAcentral describes it as "partial 16S ribosomal RNA". It matches the Rfam family "Bacterial small subunit ribosomal RNA", at positions 524 to 776 of the family's 1533-position model. The record is from RNAcentral.